Long non-coding RNA from Drosophila ananassae, 802 nucleotides. RefSeq lists it as uncharacterized. Lineage: Eukaryota; Metazoa; Arthropoda; Insecta; Diptera; Drosophilidae. The record is from RefSeq and is a predicted model, not a curated record. The transcript has 2 exons.
UGUUCAACGCACGGGGAGCGACAUUUUGGUUGAAAAUGGCCGUUUAUAUAAGCUAAAAACAUCUAAAAAACAUCCCGUUGUUGAAAAUGGCUAUGUAAGCAGUCAACGAUUACGGACGCUAUUCGACUUGGAUCUGAAUAGGGCAGUGGAGAAGAUUCAGAAGUUUUAUGGUAGCAAAGGAGAAACUUUUAAGUUGCGCUAUAUAUCUGAAUUUGACGAAAGUAAUGGUUAUUUUGUUAGCAUUACUGCCAGAGAUGAAUCCAAUGAUAUAGAUGAACUGUCAAUACCAAAUUUAAUUAUUCAGUUCCAUCCAAUAUUCAAAUUUUCCACUAAUUCUAAACUGGGCAUGAUGAUGACCCCUUAUAAAAAUUCCUUUUUACCGAUGAAUCCUGAUGCCAAAAAUGAUGAGACUAGGAAGAAUUUUCUCGACUUGCAAAAUCUCUUAUUUAACUUGAAAAUAGAAAAUGAGUUAAUCAUCAUCCUCUGUAUGAGAUUUAUAAUACCCUCAAAUUUGCUUCAGGCUAUCGAAUAUGGUAUUCGCUUAUCAAAAUCUCCAGGACGUCUUACUUCUAUUUAUGGAAAACUACUGCAGUUCAAAGAAGCGAACUCUGUGGAAAUGCAAGAAUUGAUGGAACUUUUUGGACAAAAAUAAACUAAAUAAACUACUUAAAGGUUACAAAAAAAAAACUACCAUUCCAUGUAUACCCUAUUUUUAAGUUGAGUUUCCAAAAAAAUUGUCAAACAAGUUAUUUAACAAUGGCUUGGUCGAACAAAUAUACCCUCAAGUAUAAAAACACAAAAA